GGCCUGCCUCCCUUGGGGCUGUGGGGGUCCCUCUCCUCCCAGUCAGGGCUUGGAGGGCCGAGAGUAGCCUGCUGAGGCCAUCGUCGGGACUGCGCGAGCUGGGCAGCCCCGUUUUCCUACCUCACACAUCU
RNAcentral lists this small nucleolar RNA (131 nucleotides) under Ochotona princeps (American pika). Lineage: Eukaryota; Metazoa; Chordata; Mammalia; Lagomorpha; Ochotonidae. The record is from RNAcentral.